CCUUGGAACAGGGUAUCGGAGAAGGUGAGAAUCCUGUGCCGUGGCGUGGAGCGGCCGCACGAUGCGUCCUUGUCGAGUCGGGUUGCUUGGGAUUGCAGCUUGAAGUGGGUGGUAAAUUCCAUCUAAGCUAAAUACGGGCGAGAGACCGAUAGCGAACAAGUACCGUGAGGGAAAGAUGCAAAGAACUUUGAAAAGAGAGUCAAAGAGUGCUUGAAAUUGGCAGGAGGAAACCCGGUUGCGCCCCGCGUCGCCUUG
This 255-nucleotide ribosomal RNA is filed under the name Calcidiscus quadriperforatus. RNAcentral's name for it is "partial large subunit ribosomal RNA". It matches the Rfam family "Eukaryotic large subunit ribosomal RNA", at positions 188 to 443 of the family's 3401-position model. The record is from RNAcentral. Lineage: Eukaryota; Haptophyta; Coccolithales; Calcidiscaceae.